GAUGAACGCUCGCUACAGGCUUAACACAUGCAAGUCGCGGGGCAGCAUGGGGGUUGCUUGCAAUCCCCGAUGGCGACCGGCGCACGGGUGAGUAACGCGUAUCCAACCUGCCCUUCACCACGGGAUAACCCGGCGAAAGUCGGACUAAUACCGUAUGUUGUCCAUUGACGGCAUCCGAUUUGGACGAAAGGUUUGGCGGUGAAGGAUGGGGAUGCGUCCGAUUAGCUGGACGGCGGGGUGACGGCCCACCGUGGCGACGAUCGGUAGGGGUUCUGAGAGGAAGGUCCCCCACACUGGAACUGAGACACGGUCCAGACUCCUACGGGAGGCAGCAGUGGGGAAUAUUGGUCAAUGGGCGUAAGCCUGAACCAGCCAAGUAGCGUGCAGGAUGACGGCCCUAUGGGUUGUAAACUGCUUUUAUGCGGGGAUAAAGUGGCCCACGUGUGGGUUUUUGCAGGUACCGCAUGAAUAAGGACCGGCUAAUUCCGUG
This 490-nucleotide ribosomal RNA is filed under the name uncultured bacterium. Its description in RNAcentral is "partial 16S ribosomal RNA". It matches the Rfam family "Bacterial small subunit ribosomal RNA", at positions 28 to 507 of the family's 1533-position model. The record is from RNAcentral.